GAUGAAUGCUGGCGGCGUGCCUAAUACAUGCAAGUCGAGCGGUAAGGCCCUUCGGGGUACACGAGCGGCGGACGGCUGAGUAACGCGUGGGAACAUGCCCCAAAGUGAGGGAUAACGCACCGAAAGGUGUGCUAAUACCGCAUAUGGUCUUCGGAUUAAAGGAUUUAUCCGCUUUGGGAGUGGCCCGCGUACGAUUAGAUUGUUGGUGAGGUAACGGCUCACCAAGUCGACGAUCGUUAACUGGUCUGAGAGGAUGAUCAGUCAGACUGGAACUGAGACACGGUCCAGACUCCUACGGGAGGCAGCAGUAAGGAAUCUUCCACAAUGGGCGAAAGCCUGAUGGAGCAACGCCGCGUGCAGGAUGAAGGCCCUCGGGUCGUAAACUGCUUUAUGAGUGAAGAAUAUGACGGUAACUCAUGAAUAAGCACCGGCUAACUACGUGCCAGCAGCCGCGGUAU
RNAcentral lists this ribosomal RNA (458 nucleotides) under uncultured bacterium. RNAcentral's name for it is "bacterial SSU rRNA". It matches the Rfam family "Bacterial small subunit ribosomal RNA", at positions 28 to 523 of the family's 1533-position model. The record is from RNAcentral.